UUAAUAGAUUGUGUAUCACGUAUAUACCCUUAAUAAUUAUAUAUUAAUAAUUGAUAAUAUAUAAUCGUCUAUAUCUAUAUAUAAAUAUAAAUAAAAGAAAAAAAACAUGUUGAUUAUAUCAAAAUUAUAGAACAAUUAAGGAAUUUUAACUUAUCAUGGGGAAAGACACGAUUGCUGAUAUAAUAACCUCUAUACGAAAUGCUGACAUGAAUAGAAAAGGAACCGUUCGGAUAGGAUCGACUAACAUCACCGAAAGCAUUGUUAAAAUACUUUUACGAGAGAGUUUUAUCGAAAACGUAAGGAAACAUCGCGAAAACAACCAAUACUUUUUGAUUUUAACCCUAAGACAUAGACGAAAUAAGAAAGAAUCCUAUAAAACGAUUUUAAAUUUAAAGAGAAUAAGUCGACCGGCUCUCUGUUUAAUUUGUAUCAUGAUAAACAGAGAGACUUAAAAUAAACCACCGUGGUAAAUUCUGAAACCCAAAGAAAGAGGAAUAAAGCGCCAUCAUUUAUAGUUUUAUACAAAACGCAUUCAAGAAAUUUUCAAAACUUGUAACAACAUUUACUCCAUUUAAUAAUACAAAUAGUUUAAAACUAGGGCUGAGGUCAUUGAGGGAUUAUUGUUUUUGUGAGAAGUUAAAGAAAGAAUCUUGAAGGUCAAAUUAUUAAUGAAACCUGUUCAACAUGACAGACAAUGUCUUCUGCAAGAAUCUUUCUCCCUCUUUCAAUGAUACAGAUCAAAGUUUAACCAACGAAACAGAACAAAGUACACAUAAGCUUACGUAAUCAAAAUUUAUUAUAUCUAAUUAAUAUAAAAACUAAUUGAAAGUUUGAACGAGGCAAAAGAAUCUCAAGAAUAGAUCACCAACUACAUCAUUAAGAGAACAUCUCAGCUCUUUAAAAUCCAGAGCUUCAACUCUUUUCGCUUUCUUCUUCUCAUCUUUCUUUCUUUUGCAGAAGAAAACAGAGAAACAAAAGAUCUUUCUUUCUUUUCUUUUUUUUACUGCAGGUGGGAUUUUUCUUUUUAAAUUUAAGUGUGUAGAUUAGAACAGUAGAUAGAUCUAAUUGGAUGGUAUAAAACGGGUCCACUUUGUUCUUGGGAAAGAUUCUGCACGCCCACAUGGUGAGAUUAAAAUAGAGUAAUAUUACCCUUCAUCACCUACUUGUGUCCAGAAAGACAGAAAGAGAGAGAGAGAGAGAGAGAGAAAAAAGAAGUGGUGAUGAUAAUAUCAUCUAUGUGAGCAAAAGAAUUUUCACAGCUUUUUGUUUUCUUUUUCCUCAGAAUCUUUUCAUCAUUUAUGUGUUUAUGCACCAGUAAACAGAGAACAAACAAACUCUUUCUAACUGAAAACAGAGCAAAUUAAAUCUUUUGUUUUCUGUCAGCUAUUUACUUCUUCUGAGUGUUUGAAACCCAAAGUCAAAAUUUCUCUUUAUUUCCUGAAAUUCUCUUUACUUUGCUCAAGGAAUCUUGAUAAAAGUAAGUAACUUUUUUUUCUCUGUGUGUGUGGUGUGGGUGUUGUAGUUACUAACUAUUUCUGGAAUUUUGUCGGAAGAUUGUUUUGUUCUUUGGAUACUUAUGUCAUGGAGCAUCAGAAGAUUUUUUUGUUCUUUGGAAACUGAUGUCAUGGAGCAUCAGAUUCUUAAUUUAUAUAAUUCCAUUUUAUCUUCAUUUUUUUUUUCUUCUUCUUCUUAUGUGUGGCAUUUAUUGUCUGCUGGAAAUUUCUAAAAAAUUGUCUUUUAAGGGCUCAAUAAUUGGCCCUCUCGGAGUUUCCAUGUCCAUUGGGGAAUAUUGUACUUGAAGCUGAUGUUAGUACUUGAUGAAAAUCCUCUUUCAAGUCAACUCUCUAGCUUUUAUAUAUUUAUAGCCUCUCUAUGAUUUUCACAACCUCUCUUAAAAGUCUAUUAUAUACAUGUUGAAAUGCACUUUUGAUCUUGCAGUUGACAAAGACUGAGUUUUGCUCUUAUCUUGUUUCUUCUCUUCUCUUCUUCUUGUUGGGUUUUGAUCAUGUUUCUGCAACCUUUGCAGAUGGGUUAUGUAGACACCGAGGAAAGGAACCUUAAGGGGACCUCAAAGACGCUUGUUCUUGCCGGUUCAUGAAGAAAAAUUCUUUGAGAAAGUUGAGAGUUUUGUUACACUUCUGGUGGAUGCAAGAUUGAGUUGAAGAAAAAGAAGAAAAAGAGAGAUUCUUUUGAUAUGGAAGGUGGUGGUGGUGGAGAUGGCGGUUUCUUACCUAAUUCUAGCUUAGGUGCAUUCUCUGAGACGGCUAUGGAUAUGGAUUUCAUGGAAGAACUCUUCUUUGAAGGAUGUUGGCUUGAGACAACAGACAGUAAGAGCUUGAAGCAGACGGCAGGACAAUCAGUUUCUGAUUCUACCACCAUGAGUGACAACAACUCUUUCCUUUACGGUUAUCAAUUUGCUGAGAACCCUUCGCAGGAUCAUAUCUCCAACGAAGAGACUGGGAGAAAGUUUCCUCCACUAACACCGGGUUUUCUCAAGAUCGAAGAUCUCGCCAAUCAACCGGUGAACCAAGUAUCUUUUGACCAGCCUGCAGCUAUGAGUUCUGCACAAGCAGAGAAGUUUCUCCUUGAAGAGACUGAGGUAGGUAGAAGAUGGUGGAUUGCUCCAAGAACAAGCCAAGGCCCUUCUUCAUCGGUGAAAGAUAGACUGGUACAAGCUAUAAAGGGUCUUAACGAGGCGGUGCAGGAUAAAGACUUCCUCAUUCAGAUAUGGGUGCCAAUUCAACAGGAAGGCAAGAACUUUCUAACCACUUUGGAGCAGCCACACUUCUUCAACCCGAAAUACUUGAGCCUUAAGAGAUACAGAGAUGUCUCAGUUGCAUAUAAUUUCUUGGCUGAUGAAGAUUCCAAGGAGUCUGUAGGUCUCCCUGGCCGUGUUUUCCUUGGGAAAUUACCUGAGUGGACACCUGAUGUGCGGUUCUUCAGAAGCGACGAGUAUCCUCGCAUCAAAGAAGCACAGAAAUGUGAUGUUCGUGGAUCAUUAGCCCUUCCUGUGUUUGAAAGAGGUAGUGGGACUUGUUUGGGUGUUGUUGAGAUUGUCACAACAACUCAGAAGAUGAAUUACAGGCCAGAACUUGAGAAUAUCUGUAAAGCUCUCGAGGUUUUUCUCUUCCCCUUGAUUCUAUAGUAUCAUCCUUCAUUACCAUAUUUUGUAGCCUAAAGAGGUUUCUGUGUUUUGUAGGCUGUUAAUCUAAGAAGUUCAACGAACUUGAAAUCUCCAAGCAGAGAGGUUUGUAAAAAUGGUCUUCUAAACCAAAUCAUUUGUUAACACACACAUAAACCUGUCGCUAAACGUAUGUAUGCCCAUUGUUUCAGUUCCUGCAGGUAUAUAACCAUUUCUACCAUGCCGCAUUACCUGAGGUAUCAGACUUUUUGACAUCGGUAUGCAGAUCAUAUGAGCUGCCUCUGGCUUUAACGUGGGCACCGUGUGCUCGGCAAGGCAAAGGUGGAUCCCGCCAUUCUGAUGAGAACUUCUCUGAGUGUGUUUCAACUGUAGAUUCUGCUUGCUUUGUCCUCGACGAACUGAGUCAUCAUUUCCUAGAGGCAUGCUCUGAACACCAUCUUCUUCAAGGAGAAGGCAUUGUUGGAAAAGCAUUCAAAGCGAUCAAGCUGUUUUUCGUGCCCGAAGUAACCACUUUUAGCAAGACCAACUACCCUCUUGCACACCACGCUAAGAUCUCUGGUCUACAUGCUGCUUUAGCAGUCCCUUUGAAAAGCAAAUUCAAUGGUUCGGUUGAGUUUGUGUUGGAGUUUUUCUUUCCAAAAGCUUGCCUUGACACCGUGGCUCAACAGGAAAUGCUCAAGUCACUGUCUAUAACCCUGCAGCAGGAUUUCAGGAGCCUGAAUCUUGUCAUUGAUAAAGAUCUAGAGCUAGAAGUGGUGUUUCCUGUAAGAGAGGAAGUACUUUUCUCAGAGAAACCACUUAUUAUUGAUGCAGAAACAGGAGAGAAUCUGAAACCUUUGCCUUUGGAAGAGAUAUCUCAGGAAGAUUCCUCAUGGAUCUCACACAUGAUAAAGGCUAACGAGAAAGGUAAAGGCGUGUCGCUUUCAUGGGAGUACCAGAAAGAAGAGCCAAAAGAAGAAUUCAUGCUUACAUCUGGCUGGGACAACAACCAGAUUGGCCAAGGCCACAAUAACUUUCUUUCAGACACUGAGCAGUUUCAAAAGGCUUCAAACUCAGGACUCAGACUCGACAUAGAUCCGAGUUUUGAUUCAGCAUCCUUUGGUGGGGGACAACCAUUAUUAGGCAGUAGAAGACCAGGUGAGAAGCGAAGAACAAAAACAGAGAAGACAAUCGGCUUGGAAGUUCUUAGACAAUACUUUGCAGGAAGCCUCAAAGAUGCAGCCAAGAGCAUUGGUGGUAAAGAAAACUACUUGUUAUAUUAAUUAUGUCUAUUUUGUCAACAGUGAUGAUGAUUCACACGGUUUUACUUUCUUAUGUUUCAGUUUGUCCAACGACCUUGAAAAGAAUAUGCAGGCAACAUGGGAUAACAAGAUGGCCUUCCCGGAAGAUCAAGAAAGUGGGGCACUCGUUAAAGAAACUCCAACUUGUUAUAGACUCUGUUCAAGGCGUUCAAGGCUCUAUCCAACUUGAUUCAUUCUAUACAAGUUUCCCAGAACUAAGCUCUCCCAACAUAUCUGCUACAGCUACUGGCACUUCCUUCAAGAACAGUGACCAGUCAAGGCAUUUAAGUGCUCAAACCGAGAACGGUGUAUCAGCACAGGGAAUUGCUGCAGCUCCAAGGUCGCCACCAUCAUCUUCUUGUAGCCACAGCUCUGGUUCAAGCACCUGCUGCUCAACUGGAGCUAAUCAAAGUACCAAUACUGCAAACACCUCAAACACCUUAACCACUCUGAUGGCUGAAAAUGCAGGCGCGAUCUUGAAGAGAGCUCGUAGCGAGGUAAGGCUCCAUACUGUUAAUUAUCAGGACGAAACAAGGUCUCUCUCUAGAACCAUGAGCCACAAAACAUUCAGCGAGCAACCUCUUUACGAAAAUCUACCUCGGUUACCAGAGAGUCGAAGCAGGAGCUUGAAAGCUGGAGGCGCAUCUAAAGUGAAAGCCACGUUUGGUGAGGCCAAAGUACGGUUUACUUUGCUCCCGAACUGUGGCUUCAGAGAGUUGCAGCAAGAGAUCGCUAGGCGUUUUAACAUAGAUAAUAUUGCACCGUUUGAUCUUAAAUACCUGGAUGAUGACAAGGAGUGGGUUCUGCUGACAUGCGAAGCGGAUCUUGAGGAAUGUAUCGACAUUUAUAGGUCAUCACAGAGCCGCACGAUCAAGAUCAGCGUUCACGAAGCUUCUCAAGUCAAGCUUGGAGGUUCUUUUGGUAGCACCGGUCCUGGUCCUUCGUGAUUAUAAGCAAUGAGGUAAGGUUAUUGCACCUGCAAAAGAGACAAAGAAAGAUUCGACUAAUUUACUAAUGUGUUAGAAAAUUAUUACUCACUCACCAUUUUAUAUAGCCUGGGCAACGUUUGUAAACAUAUUUUCAGUGGCCUGGAUCAUAUACCAUUUUGCAAGCAGUAGUAGUCGACUGGUUUUCUGCAUCGGCUUAGCAGAUUUUUUGUAUAAUAAGCGAUGCAUACCAGAAAUAUGCUUAUAUAUGUGUAUUUUUAUCUUCUGUACAUCAUUUGUCAACUGGAUUCUACUAAGCUUUGCAAGUAUGUUAUAUUGUAAUAUUUCCUAGUUUCUUCAUUUCUCACUUUUUCUUUCUUACCAAAACACAUGGAAACAUUAAACUUGUUUGAAAAUUUAGUCAUGCAGUUUCGGAGUUUCCCUCUUUCCAUCUUCUUCAGCAGUAAAUAGCUAGGAGAGUGUUCUGUUUUAAAUCAAAAGGUUACUGCGUACAAAUAUUUUAGUGAAGAAGGGUCCUGGGAAGAAAACCUGGAAACAUCUCUACUUGUAGCUAGGACUCUAUCCGAUCCAUUCAACUGGUAUAUCCAGACAGAGAAGCUUUUGUUAAAGGAGUUAAGCUCAAAGAUCUAGUACAUAGUUAUUCAAUAUAUGCACAAACAUUCAAGCCAUGUCAAGAAAAUUUGGGGAACAUGUCUAGUUAUACAACACUGGCUUGUAUUCAAGGAGAGUCACAAUUCAACAGAAACAAGAAAUCGCUGUACCAGUUUGAAAGUAAGAAAUGGAUAUAGACAUUUCACCUGUAUAAUAGACACAGAUAGAUGCUGUUCUUGGCAGAAAAAGGAGAGAAGAAUAUAUUCACUUUUAUUGUGAGGACACAGAAUAUUUUUGCAAGAGGGAUAUUGAUACUGAAUCUAUCACGACCACCUUAACUUGAAAGUCAAGAGAAAACAUAAAAAACUUUGGAGGUCUUUCUCUACGUAGAUUGGAUUUCUAACCAUAACCCUUUUUCAAAUACUUUUAUCACAACAAGUCUUGUUUUUUAAUAAUGCUUAUUGUCAUGCAACAACAUAUAAUACAUGAGAAUGGAAACAUUCAUCAAAAAAGCAAGCUAUAUCAAUCUAAGAGUAGAAAAUUCGAGGGUGCGAGUGAUGAUUUUGCAAAAGCGGUCUCAUGCUCAAAACACGAAGAAGUGUAACUGGGUUUUAGGAUUUUGGGGCAAUCGUGUAAAUACUUGAAGUGAUGAUUUUGCGACUGUGGUUCUACAAGAAAAAUCAAAUUAGUUUCGGGAAAAUGUCAAAGAGGUAAAACGAUGCAGGGGGUAGUUGUAUAAAUAUCUGAAAUUGAUGAAUUUGCAAAUGCGAUCUGAUAAGAACAUAUCAAAUUUAUUAAGGGAAUAUAUUAAUGAUGUAAAAGAUUUUGGGGGCAAUUGUUUAAAUACUUAAAAUUAUACAAUAAACGGGUUUUCGUCCUCCUCCAGCUCCAAAGGCCAAAAGGCGCAUCAGUCUUCUUCCAGAUUCAAACAAUCUUGCAGCGAAAAGAUGUCUCGCCGAUCGCUGACUCUCUUGAAGAAUCUAGCUAGAAGCGCGAAUGGUUCAGCUAUCCAGACCCGAUCCGUGACUUACAUGCCCAGACCCGGCGAUGGAGCACCACGCGCCGUGACGCUGAUUCCCGGCGACGGGAUCGGUCCGCUGGUGACGAACGCCGUGGAGCAGGUGAUGGAAGCGAUGCACGCGCCGAUCUACUUCGAGAAGUACGAUGUGCACGGAGAAAUGAGCCGUAUGCCACCGGAAGUGAUGGAGUCGAUACGGAAGAACAAAGUUUGCUUGAAAGGUGGGCUCAAGACUCCAGUCGGUGGUGGUGUGAGCUCGCUCAACGUGCAGCUCAGAAAGGAGCUUGACCUCUUUGCUUCUCUGGUCAACUGCUUCAAUUUGCCUGGUUUACCAACUCGCCACGAAAACGUUGACAUCGUUGUGAUUAGAGAGAACACCGAAGGCGAGUAUGCUGGGCUCGAGCACGAGGUUGUUCCUGGUGUCGUCGAGAGCCUUAAGGUGACUAUUAUCCUCAUGAGAAUUUUCGAUUUUCUUAUAGGAUUAUGGCCUUAUGCUAUGGUUUUUAGUGUGAUUUGGAAGUAGCCUUAUGGUAAUUUCAAUCUGCAAUUUCUCUAUCUCAAUUUUGAAUUUUUGGAAUCUGAGCUUAGUGACAAGGGUUUUAGGAUGCUCUGACAUGUUCUCUAGGGGGAUUUCGAUUGGCAAACUAGAAACGAUGUUGGAUGAACAUUUCGGACUAGGUAGAUAUGAUGGAAUUAUGCCUGUUUCUUCCAUCUUCUUGAACAAGAUCUUGUUAUAGUAAAUUCCAUGAGCUUAUAUUGUGUGUGUGUAUACGCUCUUACACAUUUGCAGAUGCAAGUUUCUUUUCAUCUUACUAUGCAAGUGAUUAUUCGUUUUAUUCAUACUUCUUUUGAUCCUAUCUCUCUCUGUUAGGUGAUCACGAAGUUCUGUUCGGAGCGUAUAGCAAAGUAUGCUUUUGAGUAUGCAUACCUUAACAACAGGAAGAAAGUGACAGCAGUUCACAAGGCUAACAUCAUGAAACUUGCAGAUGGGUUGUUCUUGGAAUCUUGUCGAGAAGUUGCUAAAAAGUAUCCAAGCAUCACCUACAAUGAAAUUAUUGUCGAUAACUGCUGCAUGCAGCUUGUAGCGAAACCUGAGCAAUUCGACGUCAUGGUAUGUUUCACAACUUUUCUUCUAACAAUUACUCAUAUAUGUUGAAUUACUUGUAUCAUGUAUGAAAUUUUCCUGUUAUCCAUUGUCACUUCAUGAAAUUCUGCUUUACGUGAAAAAAUACCCGUCAUCUCUCCCUAGCUAUCUCUGAUCACCUGUUUUAUGGUCAUAUACUGGUAUGGGACUGCCGUCGUAUUUCCAUAUACUAGUUAAAUUCCCCGUUUGCAUAUAAAGAUUUCAUGGAAACUUUUGAAUCGUAGCAGGGCAUUCUCAGUUGAAAAUUGUUUCCCUUGGGUUACUUCCUACUGUUUUAUCCCUCCGGGCUCUCUGCUUUAUAAAUAGAUAGAAUCUGACUGCGUGAAUAUUGAAGUGCUAAAACAUAGAGCAUUCUUCACUGGAGGAGUAACUUUUCACUACUACAUUUAAACCUUUAUCUAUGCUCUCCCUCAUUGAUGUUUGCAGUAGCUUCCUUUUGGCUUUUUCUUUCCUGAAACAGCUUACUUAUUAAACUUUUGCAGGUAACGCCCAAUCUCUACGGUAACUUAGUUGCAAACACUGCUGCUGGUAUCGCUGGAGGCACAGGAGUCAUGCCUGGAGGUAAAAAAAGCCUGUACAGAUAUUAUCAAUUACCCUACUCGAGAUAGAUACAAUAUCUAGAAUACUUCUGAAAUUUGUAUAUAUGCAAACAUAAAAUGUCAAAACAGGAAAUGUUGGGGCUGACCAUGCGGUCUUUGAGCAAGGUGCUUCGGCAGGAAAUGUCGGGAAAGACAAGAUAGUAAGGGAAAACAAAGCAAACCCAGUGGCGUUGCUUCUCUCGUCAGCGAUGAUGCUUAGACACCUUCAGUUUCCUUCGUUCGCUGACCGGCUUGAAACAGCAGUGAAAAGAGUCAUCUCUGAAGGAAAGUGCCGGACUAAAGAUCUUGGUGGACAAAGCACUACUCAAGAGGUCGUUGAUGCGGUCAUUGCAAAUCUAGAGUGACUUUGACAAAUUUACUUUGGUCUCUCUCUCUCUCUCUCUCAAAUUCCUGCUACAGAUUUUCUGUAGCCGAAAUAUAUAUGGGUAUGAUCCACGGUGUCUGGUUUUGUACCUUUGAGUCUCAUUUAUUCUUUAAACGUAACUCCUCGAAACUUUCAAUCAGAUUUUUGUAUUCCAAAUAACUCAUGUUGUUACGCUUGUUGGGUUUCGCCGUCUCAAAAUUAUUGAGAAUUGAAUAAAAAUUGGUUGGGUUUAAAAUCAUUUACCCAAACUCGACAUGUAUUCUACAAUUGGCCCAAAUGAUAUAUUUGGAAUCAAUGUUUAAAUAAUUGCUAGGCGUUAGGCGGAUGGACACUGAUUAAUCAGAAGUGAUUAUUUUUAUAAGUUUUUUCUAGAAUUCAUAUAUUUUUAUAAAAGAGUUACAAAUAUUUUCAUGUUUCUUUUUUCCAUUGUAUGGAUUUUUUAGAUGAAACAAAAUGUAAAUAGGUUGAAUCGUUAAUUGGGAUGAGAUUUAAUUGUUAAUUGAGAUCAGGAUAAUUAGGUUGAAUUGUUAAUAUGAUGUUGUUUUACUAAUAAAUAAUUGGGGCUACACAAAAGCCCAAAUCUUGGCCCAAAAAAAGAUAGAAGCCUAAAUAUUUGUAACAAAUUUUGACCCAUUUUUAUUGGGCCGAUUUUUUGCAUUAUGAGACCGAUUUUGAAUAAAAUUGUUUCUAACCGGUGAAAAAUUGGAGAACCGUCUAGCAGUACUGAUCAGAAGGAAUUAUCGACAGAGAGCCUAAUCGGCCACCUAGGUAACUAAGCGGUCGAUUUUUUAACAUGUGUUAGAAACUUAGAAUCAUUUUAAAUAUAAACACGACUGGUAUAUAAAAUUCCGUGGGACAAACGAAAGCCAAUCCAAAUCCAAAAAAAAAAGCGAGCUGACGUGGCAAAAUUUACAUCAAGCGUCAUCUCUCUAUCUCUAUCUCUCUCCCUCCUUCACCUCUCUCUCUCUCCAACUUGUCGUGAUGGCUUCUCUAAGGCUCCCCGCUCAGCUCGUUACACGUGGCACUCUCAACCACCAUAACUCUUCCUCCGCCGCCUCCUCCUCCUCCUCUGGACGCCUCUCCUGGCGGCGCUCUCUCACGCCGGAGAAUUCGAUUCCGAGCCUCCCAUCUUCCUCAUCCCUUAACCGGAAACCCUCAACGGUAGUCCCGGUUACAUGCAGUGCCGCAGCGGUUAAUCUUGCGCCGGGGACUCCAAUCCGACCAACGAGCAUCUUGGUGGUCGGAGCCACUGGAACACUUGGAAGACAAAUCGUCCGGCGAGCUUUGGACGAAGGGUAUGAUGUCAGGUGCUUGGUCCGACCGAGACCAGCUCCCGCCGAUUUCCUCCGUGAUUGGGGCGCCACCGUCGUCAAUGUAACGUUUUCACUUCUCUUCUGUUUUGCAAGUCUUUGAUUUAUGUCCCAAUAAAGAACUAAACCGGAUUCUCUUUGGACCAGGCGGAUCUUAGUAAACCGGAGUCAAUUCCGGCAACAUUGGUCGGAAUCCACACUGUAAUUGAUUGUGCCACGGGACGUCCCGAAGAACCUAUCAAGACGGUAAACUUCAAUAUUGAUUUUGUGAAUUAAAAGUUUGAUUGAUCUGUAAUUGUUGUUGUUGUUAAAGAUUCAAUUUUGAUUUGUGAAUGUAUCAGCCUAGCGAGACUUAUUCAAGUAUGACUGAUUUGUGUGAUCUUAAGAGUCACUCUCAUGCCUUUGCUUGUUUGUUGAGUGUGGAAUUUGGCUCAAUUUCUGUGUGUUCGGUUUAGGUAGAUUGGGAAGGGAAAGUUGCUUUGAUACAAUGUGCAAAGGCAAUGGGGAUUCAGAAAUACGUCUUCUACUCAAUCCACAACUGCGAUAAGCAUCCCGAGGUUCCUCUCAUGGAGAUCAAGUAUUGUACUGAGAAAUUCCUUCAGGAAUCCGGUUUAAACCACAUCACUAUCCGGUUAUGCGGUUUCAUGCAAGUAAGCCUCCUCCCCUUUUCCUUUACAAUGCAUCUAGCUCUCCUUGACCACUUGUCUUUGCAAAAGGCGGAUGAGAAAAUGAGUAGACAAGUUUCAAGAUUGAAUAGGCUUAAUUCUUGUGUGAUUCUGAGUGCAACAUUCCUCAUAUGCAGGGUCUUAUCGGUCAAUAUGCAGUCCCAAUUCUGGAGGAAAAAUCGGUUUGGGGAACGGAUGCACCAACGCGUGUUGCUUACAUGGAUACACAGGUGAGUCAACUUUGUAGAUGCAAUUCAUUUCUUUGUGUAAAACGUUGGUGAAGCACACAAAAUGAUGUAACAUGUUUUUCAUGCUAUAACAGGAUAUUGCUAGGCUUACACUUGUUGCUUUACGCAAUGAGAAAGUCAACAGAAAGCUUCUAACUUUCGCUGGCCCUCGUGCAUGGACAACCCAAGAAGUAACCGCAGAUUAUCUUCUGCAUGAAAUUAAUAGAGAAUUUUUACUAAAAGCGUAACACCUUUUUGUUUUCAAAAACAUGUCAGGUAAUAACACUAUGUGAGAGACUCGCUGGGCAAGAUGCAAAUGUCACAACGGUUCCUGUUUCCGUGUUGAGAGUCACACGUCAGUUAACUCGUUUUUUCCAGUGGACAAACGAUGUCGCAGAUAGAUUGGCCUUCACUGAGGUAAAACUAGCCUUGUCACCUAAUAAUGGUGCUUUUGCUUCAAAGUAGUUUUCAUCAACUGAAGUCACGCUUUUUGAAAAUCUAUGUGGCACGGUCGUAUUUAGGUUCUCUCGAGUGACACUGUCUUCUCUGUUCCGAUGACCGAGACUAAUAGCCUACUGGGUGUGGAUCAAAAGGACUUGGUGACGCUAGAGAAGUACUUGCAGGAUUACUUCAGCAACAUACUUAAGAAACUAAAGGAUCUAAAGGCACAAUCCAAGCAAUCAGACAUCUACUUCUGAGUUCUUACCUUCUUGUGUCUUAAUAAGAUUCAAUACUGUUAAAAAAACACUGCAUUAUCAUCGCAUACUGUGAGCUUCAUUGUUGCUCUGUUCUACAAUGGUUAUUGUGCUGCCUUUUGUAAUUAAAGAAAAUUAUUGUAAUGUAAAUGUAGCUUGAGGUACCCAUAGAGAUUCUUUGUUGUCUUGAGGAUAAACCAGCAAAGUGAAAAGAAAAUGAGGUUCUUUGUAGCCAAACAAGCCUUAAAAGACUUUCAUUCAUGUAAUGACUUCAGCUUAUCAAUGAAGAAUGGGUUGAAAAAAAUAAUAAUGGAAUCUAUGAAAAUUUUAUAAUCAAAAAUUUAUAAGAUAACAGUCGUAUUUUUUUUAAUAAUUUUGAUUAGAAAUUAGCAAAAUGGAGUUUGUGGUUAUUUUUUUUAAUAAUUUUGAUUAGAAAUUAGCAAAAUGGAGUUUGCUCAACCACGUAUUUUUAUAUUGCCUCAAAUAGUUGGCGGAUAAUCAAAAUGUAUACCUCAAAUAGUUGGCGGAUAAUCAAAAUGUAUACUGGUGUAGAGCUCUAAACUGUCAACUUCCAGACUCUGAUGUCGCAUUCCUCUUGCGCACAUAUCACUCUUAUGUAAGAGUUGUUGUACACAUCCAUGGAUUUGAAUUUCAUGGAGCUAGUAUCUCCCUUAUACACUCUUUUAGUCUGAAGAUUAAGUACAUCCAGUUCCUCCAACAGCCCAUGGCCAAUGCUGCAAGAGAACAGCCUGCAGCUUUUGGAAAAAAAUCAGACAUCCGUAAUUUCUUCAGUUUUGUAGAAUACCCUAAUGCCCGAUUGCCAUAUGUUCUCCAUGGUGUGUAAUGGUGACCACAAGUUCAUAAUUUAAUACCUACAAGUAUAAUAGAAAGUGAGAUUCGAGAGAGAGAAAGGUCGUUCGAUGGAUGAUCAAUAACAUAUUCAGAUAAGUUGAGUUGCAAUGGAAACUCCACAUGUUUCUGUAGUUUAUGAUUUUCAGAGUGGUUUGCUACAAAUCGCAUUUGUAUUACCAUUAUUCUGGGUGGUUUCGUCUGAAAAAAAAAAACAUUUUUUAAAUAGUUUAAUCAAUGUUUUACUAGCAUUUUUUAUUUCCAUUUCACUUUUUAUCUCUUCAAUUUAUUUUUACGUUGCACAAAAAUUGUCCCUAUUAAUAAUGUGUGGCUUUAAAACUCUUGUGUUUAAUUCUUUUAGUGUGGGCCAUUAACUUGAUGGGCUCUGAUCACAACAAGAGUUUGAGAAAAACAUCAAAGAUCUUGGGGUUAGAAAACUCAAAUAGUUUAACUUUUCUUAUUAAUCAAUAAUGUUUGUGUAGUGUGUAAUGACUUUCUUUUGGGGAUUUGUAUUUUUAGUUCAGGUUGCUCAUUUGAACCAUCCAAAUAUGACCUGUUGUUGCUGUUAGUGCAGCUGAAAAAUACCUUUUAAACAUGUUUUCUAGUUCAGUCCAUCUAAGCUACUUUAUAAUAGAAAUUCAUGAGCUUUAACAAUAUAAAAUUUUCAUAUUUUCAUGUGUAAACAAUAGUGACAGUGUAAUCUUUUUCUCAACCAUUAACGUCUACUUUGGCUCUUCUAAGAACAUUGCAAUCCUGAUCCAUGUUGCUUUUAUCACUUCUGGUAUUUUUUACAACUUAAUCUCAUUAACGUCUUCUCGUAACAAAGUUGAUAGUUCAACACUUAUUUAUUCUGUUUUCCUAAAGCAUCUUCAUUUCAUCUUCCUGAUGUAAUGGAUCAUUGGUCCUCUUUUUGGAACGACCAAUCACUCAUUUGUGAGAUAGAAGGAAGAGAGAAGGAAAAUCACAAAUAGGAAUAAGAAAUUACGUACGCAAGAACCAUAUAUAAUCAAACAUGGAUCUUUCUCUUCUUCUCAUGAGAAAUGGUUGGGGUUGAACAAUAUAAAAUAUAUAUAUAUAUAUAUAUAUUAAAGGAAUGACUGAUCUCAUAAAUUGAAAUCAUCAUAAAUUGGGUCUACACAAAUAUAUGUUGUAACAAUAAGCAAGAACACUUUAGCGUAGUGAGUGUGUGUAUUUCACUAUGCAAGAACAGUAUACGGUAAGUAAGGAUCAAUGAAUGCUAUGUCUUUUGGUUGUUAUUUUUUAAUCAUUUAGCUAAAUGACAGGCAACGGAGAUAUAUAAAAUGAGAUUAGCACGAUGGGAUCGAAGGAGCUCUUAAUAAGAUGAAAACGAUUACCACCACGACAGGUUCAUCCGAAUCGAUUUUAAUUGAUGGGCUUGGCCGGUUUGGAGGAGCUCUACACUUAUACGGAGGAGUUCCUGAAAAUGUGGAGGAGCAUUGACGCAACGUGUUAUGUCGUCUGAUAGGUCGGAGUUUAUGGAGGUUAUAAAUCUAUGGAAAAUAUGGAAAUUGUAUAAUCAAAAGUUUGCAAAAUAACAGUUGUAUUUCUUUUAAUAAACUGAAUUAGAAUUUAGCAAAAUGCUGUUUGCUCAACCACAUAAUUUCUUGUUGCCUCGAUAAAGUUAGAUUUUUAUUCGACAAUAGCAUUACAACUAGAAAAAAAAAAAUAUUUGACUCAUUCCUAACAAUUCCUAACGAACAUUAAAAUGGAAAAACGAUAAAUCAGAAACCCAUAAAUUUCUUAUUAAAAUCUGGAUGAUGGAAUGCAUGCAUAAAAUGACUUAAAAAUAGCUUACCUCGUAGACCUAAGACAAUAUAUUAUUAUAUACACACAUUUAUUUAAGUACUACAAUAAAAUACGAAAUGAAAAGCAUGUGUCUGGUAAACCUUUUUUUCACUAGUGAAAUGUAUGUUACAUGUCACCUGUCGUCGCCCAAUUAUUCUGUGCGGCUGUGCCUGCCUAAUUUCCCCAUCUUCAAAGCCUUUCUGUGUUUUGUUUAUUCUUCCUAUAAACCCUAAAUUCAAUCCGCUUCCAAAAAUGACCAUCACAUUAACAAAACAAUUAAUAUAUCUUACUGACCACAACUUUAUUCCAAAUCCACUAAAUAGUCUUUUAAAAAAUAACCCAAAUAGCAGAUAAUAAAAUAGUUGUAUCACAAUGUGAUAGUGACUAAAUCAUAUAUGUAAAACACGUUAAUAAUGUCCAAUGCCUAAUCCAUCACUAACUUCUACGAUUGCGUUGCGUUUAAGUAUGUCGAUAAAUCAGAAACUAUCAGCCAAUAAUGAGAUGAGAAUUACAUACUGUAUUGAUUUGCAUAUAGUUUGGCCAGAAAUUAAUAACAUAAUAUGAUAGUAGCGAAUUAUAUAUGCAACACAAUUGAAUAUCAGCACCACAAUCCGGGAAUAUGCCUAACAUGAUAUUUUAAUUAUGCUAGUCUUAUGCUUUGUGUUCUAUGCUAUUAUCAUUACAAAAUUCUAUAUUGGCAACAUUUACGUAGUUAUAUGCAAAAACGUAGUUAAAAAAAUUAGUUGUAAUGAUCUAUAAUAGUCAUUAACGAAGCAGAAUUAAGAUUAUGUUUCUUGAUAACAGUGAAGACUAAUUUACAACAUCAUUCUUCAUAUUGUAGCUAAUUUGCAAUAUAAACUAAAUCCCAAGUUAAAAUUUAAGUACGUAACCAUUAUUCGUAACAUGAGCGCAUCGGAUCAAUUAUAACGUAUGAUUAUACAGAUGGUUUAUUUAUAACAAAUUCUCACAAAAAUCAUGUUUGAAAAUUUUCCGCGAUAAAUUUUGUGAAGACAAAAAAAUGAGUGUUGUCACACUGAAAGUAAAUGAAGUAUGCCGAUUAAUCUGAUCCAAAUGAACUAUAAUAGAACUUCAUGAAUACUGUUAUCUGUAGGCGAAUAAAAACAAUAGUGUUAUCUAGAUUCUAGAAUCAGCAAAUUAAAUGGUGUUGAUGAGUUUGAACGUGCUUAACUUGAUAAGCUAAAGAAAGUGAGGAAAAUAAAAAGGUGAAAGGGACAAGAAGAAGAAGACGACGUCACAAUGCAUUAAAUUCAAUGUUUAAUUUAGUUCUGUACUGUUAAAUAUUCCUUCUUUUUAUUUAUUUUUACAUAUUUAUUUGCAUACAUUUCAAGUAUACUAUAAAAUUUACUUCAUCACUCUUUCCCCAAAAUGUAACGAUAAAUUGACUUAUUGAAGUUGUGUAGGGGACCAAAGUAACUUUCUCAAAAUAUCAUUACCUCUGAAUCAACACGGUCUUUAUAUUUGGCACCUAACAUCACUAAGAUUUUAGACAUUUGUCAAAUAAUUUUUCAUGAGGUAAUGAUCUCUAGUAUUUUGGAUUUCAGGUAAGCAUGAAGGAUUUGAUUUAUGCUAAAUUAAACAACCUUUAUUAGUGACUGACUAGUUGGACUUUUAUUCACAUUCCCGUACCAUUUAUUUUAAACGUACUAGUACUAUAUUAUAUAGGGUAUUAUUUAAUCGUUGGUAUGAAUUUGUAACCGUACGUGUGGCAACUUGAAUACUAUUAUGCAUGGCUUACUACUAUAAAUGCCACUUUAACAUACUACAUAUUCUUCUAAUGAACCAAAUCCAUCUCUUUCCUAUGGUUUAAUUUUUAAAUUCACAUUUAAUUGAUUUCAAUUAAUAGCUCUAAAUUAAAAUAAACAUAAACAUAUGAAACCUUCAACCAAUUCAUUUUAAUAAAAAAAACCGGUAUUCUAUUGGAUUCGAACCCAAGUUUUGAACACAAUCACAUCACUUAUAGAAACCACUAAAAUAUGUGUCAUAAUUAUAAAUUAUAUAAAUUUAUCAAUUUAUUCUAUAAGUUCGAACCCAAGUCUUAACACAAUCACAUCACUAAUAUAAGCCAAUAUCUGUAUAUUGGUUGGUAAGCAUUUGUUUUGGUAAAGCUCAGGAGAGUAUAUAGUUUUCAAGGGGAUGAAAAUUAUUUUAAGAGAUUAUUACCAAUUACUAAUUAAAUCUGUUACAAAAACUUAUACAAUAUUAUGAAUAAGAAGAUUCUAUUGGUCUCGUUACAAUGAAUGUUUCUAAAUGGAAAAUAAGUUGUUGGUGAAUUUGGUUAGCAAUAUAUGGAUAUAAAUAUAUGCUUUUCAUGAUAAACUUAAAGGAUUUGUCGAUAUACAAAGAAUGUAUUGCUGGCUUCACCGUUUGACUAAUUGUGUAUGCCAUAUAGACCAUUAGAAUUGGCAAUAUCAAGUGCACUGUGAGAGAUUAUAUUUAUCGAGAAGAUCUCAUGUUGAAAUCCAUGCAUAGGAUAACCCUCUUCAUUGUCUGGGGAAAUCAUAAUUUUUCUUUGCCGUAUAAAACAUCCACAUGACCAACUACUACUGAAAUCAACUGGAAUAACAUUGACCAGUAACGAUAUGGUAUAGAAUCCCAACCAUCUUUUCAGAUAAACCUUUCAUUAUCAUAUUUAAGCAUUUUAUCCUUAAAAUUUGAUAGUUAUCAUGCAUAAUUUUCUGAACCCAAAUGUAUGAUACCAUUAAAAAAUGAAAAUUUGAAUGUACUAAAACGUGAAAAUUCGUUAGUUGAUUACACGUAAAAACUUAAUUUUGUAAGAGAAGAAGAUUCCCUCAUCUUUGCUUUCAGCCCAAAAAAACGUUACAGAACUGAAAAUCCAAAAUUUUAUGGUCUAGAAUAAAAACCUGGCCACUAUAUUCUUUCCAUCCGGAAAACAUGGUUGACUUGUGCAAUUAAAUUUUCGUUGACCCAUACUUGUUAAAUACUUAAAUAUUAGUCUUAAUUACUUUGUAGGGACUUUUUAUUAAUGUAUUUUUGUGUGUUCAGGUAAUAUAUUACAUUUAUAAAAUAAAAGAAAUAAAAUCUAGUCAACGAGAGAGGAAUAACCCUGACGACGUUAGCAUCACACACCUGAAGCCUGAAGUUCUGUUUUGGUAACUACAUCCAUUUAGUUACGUCAUUAGUUUGAACACCUAAACCAACUACAACAAUACAAAUGAAGAUUUUUUUAUUAAUAUUAAAAAAAUAAUUUAUCUCCUUCAACCAUAAUCAAUAUUAAAUUUUGACUCUCUAUACAAUUACUUAUUGGUUCAUUUAUAACAAACAGAAGUCCUGUACAAUUCAUCAUUAAAUUUUUUACGUUACCCGUUACCAUCAUUGUGAUAUUACGGUUUAAAUUGUCCAAAUCAAAAUAAUGUCGUCACGUAAUUAAAUACUAUAGUUAAGGGUGGUUUGGGAAUAAUAUAAAAAUGGUCAAAACGGGUCAAAGUUACCGUCAAAACUGAAAGCCAAAGUUGAAUAGUAUUCCGUUUGAACUUAAAGAUCAAAACUACUCGUAUGUUUUUUUUUUAAGAUCCAUGUCAUCUGUCUGAACCUCUCAAAGUACCUGUCCUAAAAAGUUUUCAUUUUUCAACUAUAACACGGUUUCCCUCCUUGAAUCCGAAUUUCGGUUUAUUAAUUUUCUGAAAAAGAGAUUAGUAAUUUAAUUAAAAAAAGAAAAUGAAGAAUAAAACACCGACUCAUCCUAUGGGAGAAACGGACGAAAAUCUCGGUGCUGGCAAGAUUCCUUUACAGUCCUUUGCUGUUUUUUUUUUUCUCACCUUUUUCCCUUUUGUUUUUUCAGUCUUCUUCUUCUUCUUCUUGAGCUAAAUGAAUCAUUCAAUAUUUAUCUCUCUACUUUAUCUCUUUUUCUUUGCCCUAAACUGAAAUAAAUCUUUUUUAUUUUCUUCUCGAGAAAACAAUCACUUCACACUUUCUUUCUAUCACCAUCAACCCACACCUUCUUUGCCCCUUAUGCGCCUCCAUCUCUUAUUCCUCUCACCUACCUUUCAACUCUCUCUCUCUCUCUCUUUCUUUUUUCCUUUUAAUUUCAUUUCUCUUACCUGAUUUCAAAUCUUCGCUUCCUUUUUUUUUUGUUUCCUUUCUUUUUUUCUUUCUUAAUUUAAAAAUUGUUUCUUUUUUUGUGUGUGUGUGUGGAAUUAUUGAUGGGUUGUACAAGUUCUAAGCUCGACGAUCUCCCGGCGGUUGCUCUUUGCCGUGAACGCUGCGGUUUCCUAGAAGCGGCGAUUCGGCAACGUUACCUUUUAGCCGAAUCACACGUGGCGUACACUCACUCGCUCAGAGGAAUCGGUCACUCUCUCCAUCUCUUUAUCAACCACCACCACCGCUUCGUCGCUUCCGGCGGCGCUACCGCCGGCGGAGAUUCUCCCAGGCUUAAUCUUCCUCCUCAGAGAAAAGGCGACCCUCAAGGAGAAGACGUCGACGACGACGACGGCGACGGAGGAAAUUCCCCCAAAAAAGCAAAAAAGCUACCUUCUUCACACAAACACGCUCUCUCGGGUUCGGGUUCUGAUUCGGGUCAUCUCGAAUUCGAUUCGGAUUCCGAUGAUGAUGAUGAUGACGACGAAGAUGGCCAUUUGGAUUUGGAUUCGGAUCAUUCUCCUCAACACCACCAUCUUGGGAAUUUCCCGAUACACGAGCCCGGCCCAUACAUGGAACCACCGGGUUAUACCCGAUACCCGAACCCGGAAAUGAUGGGUCAUUUUCCUCCUCCUCCUUACUCGGGAGGAGGAAGCUAUAUGCACAUGAAUUACAUGAAGAACAAAUCCAUGCCUCCUUCAGUUAUCUAUGAGCAAAGACCAAGUAGCCCUCAAAGAGUCUACAUGGGCGAAUCAUCCUCUUCUUCUUCCUCUAAUUAUCCUUACAAUCCAUAUCCUCCAAGUUCUUAUUUCGGAUACUCAAAUCCCGGACCCGGACCCGGAUUCUACGGUUCUUCAGCUGCUGCUGCUUCCGCCGCGGCUGCCUCGAAACCGCCUCCGCCUCCUCCGUCGCCGCCUAGGUCUAACGGGUGGGAUUUUUUGAACCCGUUCGAUACUUAUUAUCCUCCGUACACUCCGAGUCGAGAUUCGAGAGAGCUAAGAGAGGAAGAAGGUAUCCCGGAGCUGGAGGACGACGAUUCACAGUACGAGGUUAUUAAGGAAGUUCACGGGAAACCGAAAUUCGCCGCCGGUGGUGGUAAUAAUCAUCCCAAACCCGCCGCCGUUUACAGGGAAGAUCCUCCGUCUCCGCCACCACCAGCUGAUAAAUCCGGCGCCAGCACUAGCGGCGGAGAUGCAGCAGAUGCGUCCAUGUAUCAGUCUAGACCAAGCGUGUCGGUGGAGAAGAAAGGUGUGGAGUACGAAGUGCACGUUGUUGAGAAGACGGUUGUUGAAGAUGCCGGGAACGAGGAAAGACGGAGCAAUGCCACGGCCACACGUGGCGGAGGUGGUGGUGGUGGAGGGCCACGUCCGGUGCCUGAGGUUGCGAAAGAGAUCGAGGAUCAAUUCGUGAAAGCUGCAGAGUCGGCAAGUGAGAUCGCCAAGUUACUUGAAGUGGGGAAGCAUCCUUAUGGUCGCAAACAUGGUAAAUUAAUGAUCUUUCAAUGCUGUUACUUAAAGUUCUCAGCUUUCUGCAACUGAUUAAGUAAAGUUUGAAACUUUUUUGUGUGUGAAUUGGAGCAGUUACAUCCAAGUUGUUGCACGGAGUUACUCCUUCGUUACCUUCUACCUCUGGAGGAUCUUCUGCUGCUGCUGCUGCUGCGCCGCCAAGUUAUGCAGACAUUGAAGAGGAGCUUGCUUCUAGGUCGAGGAAUCUUUCUUCAACAUUGCACAAGCUCCAUCUAUGGGAGAAGAAGCUUUACCACGAAGUGAAGGUAAUGUUUGAUCUUAGAACGUUUGUGAUUCUGUUCUGGUUCUUUGUCUUAAGAAGCUUCUUCUCCUGUGUAGGCCGAGGAAAAACUGCGUGUAGCUCACGAGAAAAAGCUAAGGAAGCUAAAGCGUUUGGAUCAAAGAGGUGCCGAAGCUAAUAAAGUGGAUACAACACGGAAACUAGUGAGAGACAUGUCCACAAAGAUACGGAUUGCGAUUCAGGUUGUGGAUAAAAUAUCUGUUACAAUUAAUAAGAUAAGAGAUGAAGAUCUAUGGCCGCAAUUGAAUGCAUUGAUUCAAGGGUAAAACUUUGCCUCCGAAUAGAUAUAUAUAGAGAGAUAUUUGCAAUUGGAAAUGUUGACUCAAGUUUCUUUUUUUCCUCAGGCUUACAAGAAUGUGGAAAGCGAUGCUUGAGUGUCAUCAAAGUCAGUGUCAGGCUAUUAGAGAAGCUCGAGGAUUAGGCCCCAUAAGAGCGAGCAAGAAACUAGGUGAAGAACAUCUAGAGGCAACGAGUUUGCUUGGACAUGAGCUUAUUAACUGGAUAUUGGGAUUCUCGAGCUGGGUUAGCGCGCAGAAAGGUUAUGUAAAAGAGUUGAAUAAAUGGUUGAUGAAGUGUCUUCUCUAUGAACCCGAGGAAACACCCGAUGGAAUCGUUCCUUUUUCACCUGGUCGGAUCGGAGCUCCACCAAUCUUUGUGAUCUGUAACCAAUGGUCUCAAGCUCUGGACAGGAUAUCAGAGAAGGAAGUUAUUGAGGCAAUGCGCAGUUUCACUACAAGCGUGCUUCAGCUUUGGGAACAAGAUCGGUUAGAAACGACGAUGAUGGGGCAGGGUGAUUCAGAGAAGAGAGUUAAGAACAUGGACAGGGAAGAGCAGAAGAUACACAGAGAGAUUCAAGCACUGGAAAAGAAAAUGGUUCUCGUGGCACAGAGUGAUGGUAAUAAUAGUCUUUCCAUAUCCGGUAACGUUGUCUACCAAAGCGACACUAGCAAUGAUAGUUUACAAGGUAGCUUGCAGCGUAUUUUUGAAGCUAUGGAGAGAUUCACUGCUGAAUCUAUGAGAGCUUAUGAUGAUCUCUUAAUCCGCGCUGAAGAAGAAACUGCUCCACGAGAACUCGAGGAAGAAGAGGAAUAAUAAGCAAAACAGCAGCGAGAUCUUUGCUUUAUCAAUUCAUGAGGUGUUUCAAAGCCGGAAUACUCGGUUAUUCGGUUUAGUAUACCGGAAAAUCUUCUGGAAUCAUCUGUAUCUCCUCACUGAGACUCGGGCAAGAAGAGCUUCAUCAGGAUGAUGAUCGUAGAGGAGGCAGGAACCGGGGCAAAAUGGUGGCCCAGUUGUUCGGUUUACAGAUGUGGUUAAGUGAAAUUGGGUCUGAACCGGAUGGUUUACAUGCCAUGGUAGAGAAAGGUUUGUUAACUUAAUAGUAUACCCACAUAUAACGCAGGUCGCAGAUAUUAGUUGAGUCUAAUAAUUUUAAACUUCGGGUAGUGUACAUAAGAUGCUUAGGACAAAACUUUUGAUAAUUCUCAACAAUUAUUUUGUAAAAUCUGAAGGUAGCUCAGACAUGUCUUUCUUUCUUUUGAUCUCGAUGAAGGGUCAUGUAAUAUUUCUCUGGACUUAAAAUUCUUUUUGUUUCUCAUAAAGACUUAAAAAGUUUGUUCAUUCUGAUAGUAUUGAUACAUUCGGCAAAAAGGGAAAAAAACUAUAACAUGAACUUGACACAAUUCUCUGAAACUAUAACAAGAAGCUCACAAAUUUCUAGUUUUUUUUUCUCGUAAUUCAAAAAUUAUUAAUUGUUACGGUCCAAGGAGUGGCAUAGACGAAGUGUGUAAUAAAACAAUAAUGCAUUUUUGCACUCUCUUUUUGGUAUGUUCUGUUCCCUCAAUUCCAUUCAACAUAAGUUAAGCGCCUUCGUAUUCCUCACUCAUUAAACAUAGUUUGACUUUGAUUUAAUAUAAACUUAAUACUCCAAGUGUUACUGACCAUGGAAGCUAAAUCGAAAUUACCGUAUAGAUAAAAUGCAUCUUCAGAGUUAAGAAAAUAAUGUUUGGAUUCGAAGUGAUCACAUCACACGUCUCUUUUUGGCUUUUCCAUAAACGAUAUAUUCUGCAUCAUUGGGCGUUGGCCCAGUAAAUAACUCACAAUCUCACAUCAAUGAUUUUCAAAUCACUAUUCACUGACCUGUUGUUUUUACCGAACUAUUUGCAGAAACUAGUUUACGUUAAACUACUGACCAUUAUCCAAUACUAAUGUUUCAGAUGCGAAGUUUUAUUCUUUGCCGCAUUUUUCUCGUAUACGCAUUUGCUCAUAGGAAUUUUUUUUUUUAAUAAUACACGAGACAUCAUGUAAUGAAAAAAAAAUGGUGAAUGAUUUACGUUUUUCUCGUCGUAAAAAAGUUUUUGUUCAGUGAAAUGCAAUUAUGCAUAAGAAUAAAUGAUAGUAUAUAGAGACAAACCAUUCCCAAUCAUUAACCUGACCAGCUUCAAACAUUAAUGAUUCAUGUGAAACUAAAAUAUUAAUUACCAAUGGUCCAUUCUUUUUCAACUAGUGUCUGCGCCAAUAGUUCACGUCUUCGAGUUGCCGUGACAAACAUGAUUAGCGUGAACUUGACGUCUCAUGUGCCAAUCUUUUUUUUUUUUUUUGCAAAAUAAUAAAUUGAGAUAAAGUUAUAACAUGCAGAGAAUAAGUGCCAGAAGUUAUUGUUGUGAUGCAACUAUAGGUUAAUGAUGUGUAUUUAUUAUAUAUUAGAGGUUGUGCUUGAGCAUCUAAUCAUAUAAGAAAGAAGCCAAUUACAUUGGAGAAUCUUUGGAUCACUUCACUCUUUGCCUUUUCAGCACAAAGAGACAGCUCUUGUGUUCUUGAAAGCUGAAGCUCUGUUUUCUCCAAAGCUAAUAAUAGGUACCCAAACAUUGCAAGCAUACUUUUCAUUUGCAUACAUCCAAACUGAGAAUAUACAAAUUAUUGUUUUUGCCGGUGAUCAUUGGAGUUUAUUCGUUAUGAUUUGCAGUUUUUAAUUUUUAUUAUUCAGACUGUUGUUCAAUUUUGAAACUAAACCCGUAGAAAACGAAUUUAUCCUUUCAAAAUUAGUAAAGUGAUAUGACAUUUUAUAUUUCUUUCAGGAAAAUUAUUUUAUAGAAUUAUCAAUUCUCUUAUUUUAUAAAGGAAGAAAUUCGAAAAAUUUAUUUCAAAAAUAGUAAUGUAUCAUUUGUAUAUAUAAUAUUAUUAUAAAUUGAAAAAAAUAUAGUAUUUGUAUGUGUGUUCAAACUUCAAACUAAAAUCAAAUGAAAGUAGUAAAUAUGGUGGAUAUAUAAUUGUACGAUGUAGUUUUAGAAAUUUAAAAAUCGUUAAAAUAAUAUAAUAUUUUUGUAUAAUUAGGAGUAGAAUUGAAAGGUAAUCCCAUAUUUGACCAGAAUUUUAGGCUAGCUGUCUUUAUUACAACGCACCGUGUAACCAUAUCCAAUUCAAAUUUGGUGAUACGUAAUAUGCUGUUUGAAUGUUACCAAAUCAUGUUUUAAACAAUUUUGAACAUUUAGCCAUAUUAGUAUAUAGUAUAUAUAUGUUUAUGUGGUUUCCAAAAUAAAUGGUUACACAUUCAGAGUUUCGUUUUUUUCUGUUGGUUUUGAAAGAUUUCUGUUUCAAAAGUAAGCUUCUUAAAAUGCAAAGACUCUUUCCAAAAGAUUUAUUCAAGUUUAUUCUAGGACUUGCACCUAAAAAUAGUAACUUAUUAUGGUGACGAAGUAAUUAAUUAGAACUCAAAUGGAAAGAAAAUAUGUCAGCCUGUCAAAGACUCAAAUCAAAUAAGAAAGUCGAUAUACACUUUAAUCUAAUUAGAAGUAACGACAAUAAUCCAGAAAUAUAAAUUCGAGCGGAAAUGAAAAACCAUAUAAAUCCAAAUAUCACACGGUUUUUCAUUGGUCAACUUUCUAAACACUUCAGAUUUUCUUCACACGCUUCUAUCUUUACACUGUACAAGUACGAACCUUUUGAAAAAAAAAACUAGCUACAACUUAAUAUUGUGGUAAAAAUAUAUAGCUACAGAGAACGAAGAAAAACAACUUGGUUGUGUUGAAAUAAAUAAGAAAAAUCGAGAAAGCAAAAGUAGAAAUGGUUGAUGAUAAGUCACUCCAAUCACAAACACUUUGAGCUGGCAAUAAUGUGAUUUUCCAAAAUCUCUUUUGGUACCACAAAGUGUAAAUCAUUGAACAUCGGAAUCAAUUUAUUGUAUUAUAGUAUAGUGUAUAUACAAAAGAAGUUGGCUUCUUCUGAUUUUUUGGUUUUUCAGUUUGCAAAUCCACUGAUUAAAGAUUAGAGAAUUUAUCGACCCAAAAAAAACAGUGCCAGACUUCAGAGUUGACCUUCUUAAGACAAUGGAAAAAGAAAAGACAUGAACUGAAUUAUCUUUUAAUACUAAUAAACUCUAUAAUUUUACUAGAAGGAUGAUCAAAAUUAUAAAAUCAAUUGCUUAAUUCGUUGAUUUAAUUUGUUUAAGUGGUACCAUAUAGACAAGUAGGAGACAAUCUCUCAGAAACUUACCUCAGGAGUCAAAAAAGACAGAAGAAAAAAAUAAAAAUCCAGUUUUGUAAUUCCACCACUAUCUUCUCUGUCUCUCUCUCUCUCUCUCUCUCUCUCUCUGACAAGGAGCAAAAGAGAAACACUUUCCGACUCGCUUUGUUUCGUGAGAAAGAAUUGUUCAUGGGUUGUUGUCAAUCCUUGUGUCGGGGUGAGAACCCGCUUAGUAAAGAUGGAGCUCAGCCGCUACAACUGUCUCAAAACCACCACGGCGGUGCCACGGCGGCUUCUGGACUCGAUAACGGCGGAAUCGGAGGCGUCGGAGCUGGUGGUGUAGUUGGAGGAGGAGGAGGAGGAGGAGGAGGCAUCCCUUCUUUCUCUGAGUUCUCUUUCGCUGACCUCAAAGCAGCCACCAACAACUUCAGCUCCGACAACAUCGUAUCAGAAAGCGGCGAGAAAGCCCCAAAUCUUGUCUAUAAAGGCCGACUUCAGAACCGUCGCUGGAUCGCCGUCAAGAAGUUCACGAAGAUGGCUUGGCCUGAUCCUAAACAAUUCGCGGUAGCAAAAAAUAAAAAAGAAACCUUUCAAUUGUUCAAUUGAUUAAUCGUUAAUUGAUUUUUUUUCAUGAAAACUGUGUUCCUUCAAUUUUGGUUGCAGGAAGAGGCAUGGGGUGUGGGGAAAUUGAGGCAUAAUCGGUUGGCGAAUUUGAUUGGAUAUUGUUGUGACGGAGAUGAAAGGCUUCUUGUUGCUGAGUUCAUGCCUAAUGAUACUCUUGCUAAGCAUUUGUUCCAUUGUAUGCUUAAUGAUUCUCUCUAUCUGUUUCCCAUUAGAAUGAUGCAUCUCUUAGUGUAUUUUUUAGGCUGUAUAAGUUGAAAUGUGCCUCUAAAGCUUUUAAAUUUAGUCUCUUUUUCAGUAUCCAAUGUUUAGCGAAUUUCAGGGCCUUACAGCUGAAUAUGGUUUAUGAUGUGUUAUAGGGUUCUGCUUGUUAGAUGGAUUAAAGAGAGUUCCUUUAUGUGAUUAGAAUGUCGUAAAGGUUGAUUUUUUUUUUCUGAUUCUGUUGUGUCUUUUGGACAUUCACAGGGGAAAAUCAGACCAUUGAAUGGGCCAUGAGGUUACGAGUAGGAUAUUACAUAGCUGAAGCUUUGGAUUAUUGUAGUACCGAGGGUCGUCCAUUGUACCAUGAUUUAAAUGCUUACAGGGUUCUCUUUGAUGAGGUAUUAUAGAUUUAUUCCAUGCUUACAAGAUUUACUGCAUGGUCUUUAUCUAAGGCGGCACUUUAACAAGUUUGUUUGAGUGAAUAUUGUAGGAUGGUGAUCCUCGCCUAUCAUGUUUCGGCUUGAUGAAGAACAGUCGGGAUGGUAAAAGUUAUAGCACAAAUCUAGCGUAUACACCACCUGAAUAUCUAAGAAAUGGUAAAUCAAUUCUGCAUCUCUCUUAAGAUUAUUACAAUCAGCAUAAGAUUCAAAUGUAUAGUUUUAUUCUUUUGCCUUUUACUAUUGAGUUUGUUCGCAGCACUCAUUAAUGGUUUUGCUCUAUUCCUUUUGUCCUUGAAUAUACAUAUUGCCAUCUCAAUGUUGUCAAUUUUUCUUGUGUAUGUUGUAGGAAGAGUGACACCUGAAAGUGUUACUUACAGCUUUGGAACUGUGCUUCUGGAUUUGCUUAGCGGCAAGCACAUCCCUCCAAGCCAUGUAAGUUCCUUAUCUAUCUGUUUGAGUUAAAAGAAGUGUACUACUAAAAAGUGUUUUCUUUUGGGUGGGAUUAUGUGCUCAUUGGUCAUGAUUUUCCUUUUAAGUGGUUGUGGUUUCUGAGAACUCUAUAAUGCUGCUCCUUCACCGUUUCUCUUAAAAUUAGCUAUAGAUAUGUGCUGUGGUAUUAGUUUAGUGAUAACUCCUUCUUGUAGGCACUGGAUAUGAUACGUGGCAAGAAUAUUAAUAUGUUGAUGGAUUCACACCUUGAGGGAAAAUUCUCAACAGAAGAAGCUACCGUAGUUGUCGAGCUCGCCUCUCAAUGUUUGCAAUAUGAGCCUCGAGAGAGACCCAAUACAAAAGAUCUCGUUGCAACACUUGCACCGUUGCAAACUAAAGCAGACGUAAGCGUGACUGAGUUCUUGAAUUUUGUUGAGUUUAUUUUUCUUCUUCUUGUUCUUGAAGUGUUAAAAAAAUUUCGGUUACAGGUUCCUUCUUAUGUAAUGCUUGGAAUAAAGAAGCACGAGGAGGCGCCUUCAACGCCACAGAGGCCACUUUCACCAUUAGGUGAGGCUUGCUCGAGAAUGGAUCUCACAGCUAUUCAUCAGAUUUUGGUCAUGACACAUUACAGAGACGACGAAGGGACAAACGAGGUAAUUAGAUAAUAGUUUUGGUUUCAGAUAUUAAACAAGGGGCUUAUGUCUUUUAUUUUAACUAACUCUUGGGAUGGAUUUUCAGUUAUCUUUCCAAGAAUGGACGCAACAGAUGAAAGAUAUGCUUGACGCACGAAAACGCGGUGAUCAAUCUUUCCGCGAGAAAGACUUCAAAACUGCCAUCGACUGUUACUCACAGGUAUUGAUUCUAACUGAAUAGAUCCGAAUAAGAAUUCUUUUGACACCUUUCUAUUAGAGCUCAUACGGUUACAUAC
RNAcentral lists this long non-coding RNA (27636 nucleotides) under Eutrema salsugineum. RNAcentral's name for it is "long non-coding RNA (ESAL_LNC002028)". Lineage: Eukaryota; Viridiplantae; Streptophyta; Magnoliopsida; Brassicales; Brassicaceae. The record is from RNAcentral.